UGAGGACAGCAGGUGGGAGCUUUCUAAGCCAGACAAAGGAGACCUGACAAGAAACUGCAGUGAAAGGACAAACCCAAGGCAAAGGAAUGUCCGGUCACCUCCUUCCCUGGAGCAGGCAGCUGAGAUCUGCAUAGACAGGAAGCAUUUUGCAAGACUCAACACCUGGAGCAGUGCUAACCAGGUCUCACUGCCUCAGGUAGAACUCCAUUUGCAGAGCAUUCCUGCUCCAGGUGGGCAGCCCUGAUGUCGGCCAAGCUCUACGUGCUCAUCAGCUGGCCUGAUGGCAGCCGCGUCAUCAGCAUGGAGAACAUCAAGGAGCCCCGCAAGCCCUUCCAUCUCUAUGCUGUGGGUGAGCAGGUGCUGGCCCGCUGCCCCGGCUUCAGUGGGCUUUACUGGGGUAUUGUGGAAGGCAUAAGUGAGCAUAAAGAUGCUUUGGAGAAGAAGCUGCUGGAAGACAGACAACUCCUGGAGAAGUUAAAAGACGAACCAGCUGUCCAUAGUAUGAUGCCACCCCAGCCAAAAAAAUCCAGGAAAACCUUCCCAAAAUGGACCCAGGUGAAUGCAUGCAGGAAAUACCACACAGACAGGACUUACUCUGGGAAGCCACUGCUGCAGGCAGCUGAGCCUGGCCUGCCCUGCAGUGCUGGCAGCCCCUCCAUCACCAAGGAGAGAUGUUCCCUGGGGCCACCCCAUCCCACCAGCACCUUCACCCCCCCAGCCACUUUUGUCAGCCUGGCUGUGCCAGGAACUUCCCAGAGUGAGGAGGACAGAGCUGGCACCACUACCAAAGAUUACGUUGCCCUGGCAAUGAAGAGGAAGUCAGAUGGCAUCUUGUCCCAAUGUCAGCAACGCAUCUGUCUGAACAGCUGUGAAGACGAAAAGCUGGACACUGUGCAGGAGAUGGAUGGCUUUGAGAGAGUGCAGAAAAAAUUUGCUCCCGGUGAAAUGGAAAGGGAGAAGAUAGAGCAGCUGGAAAGGAUGGUCUCAGACCUCCAACAGGACGUUCUCUCUCUGAAGAAGAAGGUCCAGAGGCUGGAAUCCCUGUCCUUCCAGGAGGAGCCCCACAGGCAGCCCUGCGAGGUGGUGGAGCUCUUCAAUGGCUACACCAAGGAACAGCUCCGUGAAGCAAUUCGCUUUGACCAGAAGAUCAGCACUGCCUGCAAGACGCUGCUCUACAAGCUCUUCACGUCUGACUACAUCCAGAGCCACUCCAUCACGGGGCGCAGAGGCAACACUUUCCGAGAGGCAAAGCCCAUGAUGGAUGAACGCUGCAUCAAAAUCAUCAGGGUGCUGCUGAAACAGAAGUUUGGGGACCAUCUNNNNNNNNNNNNNNNNNNNNGGAGAAGAUACAAAACGUGCAGAAAGCUCUGA
This 1371-nucleotide long non-coding RNA is filed under the name Coturnix japonica (Japanese quail). RNAcentral's name for it is "lncRNA (ENSCJPG00005003688.1)". The record is from RNAcentral. Lineage: Eukaryota; Metazoa; Chordata; Aves; Galliformes; Phasianidae.